GAUCAUGGCUCAGGAUGAACGCUAGCGACAGGCUUAACACAUGCAAGUCGAGGGGCAGCGGGGGUAGCGAUACCCGCCGGCGACCGGCGCACGGGUGAGUAACGCGUAUGCAACUUGCCUAUCAGAGGGGGAUAACCCGGCGAAAGUCGGACUAAUACCGCAUGAAGCAGGGAUCCCGCAUGGGAAUAUUUGCUAAAGAUUCAUCGCUGAUAGAUAGGCAUGCGUUCCAUUAGG
This 234-nucleotide ribosomal RNA is filed under the name uncultured bacterium. RNAcentral's name for it is "partial 16S ribosomal RNA". It matches the Rfam family "Bacterial small subunit ribosomal RNA", at positions 15 to 245 of the family's 1533-position model. The record is from RNAcentral.